GGCCCCGGGGUGUCAGCACGUGUGGUUGCAAACCUCAAGAAGCAGAGUAUUUCUGCCGGGCUU
This 63-nucleotide transfer RNA is filed under the name Kaloula verrucosa (Chinese narrowmouth toad). Its description in RNAcentral is "tRNA-Cys". Lineage: Eukaryota; Metazoa; Chordata; Amphibia; Anura; Microhylidae. The record is from RNAcentral.